UACGGGGGGGGCAAGCGUUGUUCGGAAUUACUGGGCGUAAAGGGCUCGUAGGCGGCCAACUAAGUCGGAUGUGAAAUCCCCAGGCUUAACCUGGGAACUGCAUCCGAUACUGGAUGGCUUGAAUUCGGGAGAGGGAUGCAGAAUUCCAGGUGUAGCGGUGAAAUGCGUAGAUAUCAGGAGGAACACCGGUGGCGAAGGCGGCUCUCUGGACGGAUACUGACGCUGAGGCGCGAAAGCGUGGGGAUCAAACAGG
Molecule: ribosomal RNA, 253 nt
Filed under: uncultured bacterium
Lineage: Bacteria
Description: partial 16S ribosomal RNA
Rfam family: Bacterial small subunit ribosomal RNA
Source: RNAcentral